RNAcentral lists this long non-coding RNA (3780 nucleotides) under Marmota monax (woodchuck). The record is from RNAcentral. Lineage: Eukaryota; Metazoa; Chordata; Mammalia; Rodentia; Sciuridae.
CAAAAGUCUCCCUCUUCGGGGCAAGUUGUGUUCUUAUUGGCAUUCUAGGCCUGCAUUUCUCCUGCAGAUAACAGGUUGUUUGCUGAGGAAUGUAACAUUCUAUUGACUUAAGUCAGCAAGGACUGCAUGCAGUUAAUUUGCUUUCUAAAAGAUAGCUUGUGGGGAUUGAGAGAGUGUGAAGUGGGGAUAACAUACAACAUAGGAACUGCAUGGACCUCAUCAAUGGUGUGGUGCUCACGGAGUUGGAGUUUUUAAGGAAAUUGGGUCCCCCUGGUUUUGCCUCUACUACUUGCCUCCUGAAUCACUUUGUUAUGCUUUGAGUAGCUCUCAAUGAGCUUUCUUUUUGAGGGUCUUGAUGUUUUGAUUUUCAGUUGCCCUUCACUGUCCUUUCCCUGUUCACCCAUUCAUGGCUAACUAGUUACCUAACAAUAUGACCAAUAGCUGAUGAAGUGACCUCUGUGGAGAAGGUGCAGAAGAACUAGACAUAUUUAACCAAAAUGUAGCCAUCUGUAAGGGAGCUGAUCAUUUCUUUCCAUGCCUUAUUUGGUCACAGAGUUCUUUUCAUUCAUUUUCAUAACUCUACAUAGGUGGUCUUGAGGUGAACUUGGGUAUGGUGCUAUGCUGAAAGGAGCCCAGGACAAGGAGAAUGGAGCCUUGGGUUCUAAUCCAAACCAUUAGAUGGUUUUGUGGCAAAUGCCACAUCUGCCCUUAUGCAUUGAUUUCUUUGGGAAAUUGUACUUUCUACCUCAUUACGAUAAUGAAAAAUCACCAUUUAUAUACACAUUUCAAUUUUUAUUGAGUACCUUAUAUAUUAGGUACUUAUUCCUAAGUAAGUCUUUUACAUAAUAUUCUUGAAAGGUGGGUGUUAGCAACCUUCACUCCCCCUCAUCCCAUCCCCACAUGCCAUAUCAUAGAUGAGGAAACUGAGACUUAGAAAUGUAAGGAAAUUUACUCGGCUCACAGAGGAUGUUUACUAUAGUAGCUGGCACCGUGCCUGCAGCAAUAAACCCUUGGCAAUGAUUCGUCCUUAUCUGGAGAUUUCUUUUCUUUGCCCAUGUCGGCAAUAUUGCCUUCAAUUGCACUAUCAGAGAUAAAGUUCCCAGAUGUCUUGACUCUGUGUGCUGCUCAAGCUACUUUGGGCUUUAUUCCUGUUUUGCAAUGGGGGUGAGUGAUGGGAAGGUAGAAGGAGAACCUGGGAAGCAAUCUCCUUCAAGGUGCUGUGGGAGCUCCUAAAUCCUUGAAUACACCAGGAUAUAUCAAUACAAAAGACUUAUGUUUUUGCAGUGCUGGGGAUUGAACCCAGGGCUUCAAGGGCUAGGCAAGUGCUCAGCCACUAAACUAUGACUCCAAAAAGUAUUCAUAAAUAUGAUUAUGAUGUGGAUGACAUUUCUAAAAGUCAUUUCUACAUUCCUAAAUGAUAUUUCUAAUCUGCUAUAAGAAAAAAAUACCUGUUAAGAGGUGACUGGUGCUAGCAAAUGCAUAGUAUCCAAUAACAUGGGGUCAAAAAAGGUCCUGGAGACCUUGGUACAGAGACAGCACUAAUGAGCUAUGCAAAUUAGGGAAAUUCUUCCAUGGCUUGACAUCCCCAUCCUGGUCCUCUUUUAGAUUGCUUCGUCACCCAACAGUCACAAAUGUUUCCAUCUCUGCUUCUUACCUUCCUCUUUCCCCAUUCCAUGGCCCAGUGAAAUGAACUUUAUUCUGUUCCAAGUACAUGCCCCAGGCUUUUCUAUUUUUCUGCUGCUUUUGCUCAAAUUCUUUGCUCCAUCUGGAAUGCCCUUCUGUCUGUCUCUCCCUCUCUCUCUCUCAGCCAAAUUUCUCAGUAUGACUGAUCCUCAUGGCCUUGUGUAAAGUCCCUCUUCCCCAUGAAGACCUCCUUCCAGCUGGAAGUGUUUAUGGGACAUUCUUUCUUUUUAGUGGACUAUUCCUUAUUUCUCUUUAUAGAUAUAUGCUUUCUGAAGCCUUCAGAAAAGAAAAAUAAGUUCAUAAAGAGAAAUAAGUUCAUAUAUGUUUCAGCUUUUCUUUUGAGUCCAUAACACAGGAUUUCAUACGUAAGAGCCACCACUUCAUAUUUCAAUGAAUGAAUGAAUAUUCAGAUCUUGAAUGGAGGACUGAAUUGUGUAUGGUUUUAAGUCGAAGAUAUACCGGGACAGUUAUAUUUGUUCGCUUAUUAAGCAUAUACUAGGUUUGAGGACAUCUGCCAAGAUUUAUGACACAAUGUUUCUUAGAAUUUGUGGUCUCUAGCAAACAAAUAAGAUUUAACAUCUCCUCUUCAGGAGACACACAUAAGCCAAAGUUUAAAAAAAAAAAGGGAAGAAAAAACACAUUUUAAUGUGAUAGAUAAAGGAGGGAAGGUAUUUAUGAUAGAAAAUGCAAAUAGGAAAAAGAGAUCAAGGUCUGACAAAGAAGAGAGCAUUGGACUGGAUGUGACCCCAAAUUCAAAUGUUGAAAUCCUCACCUUCAAGGUGAUGGGUUAGGGGGUGAGGCCUUUGAGAGGUGAUUAGGUCAUGAGGAUGGAGCCCUGGUGAUCAGGAUUAGAGGCCAUAUAAAAGGGCCCAGAACACUUGCCAACCCCCUUCCUACCAUGUGGGGAUACAAUGAAAAGACAGCCAUCUGUAACUGAAGAAAUAUAUUUCUGUCUUUUACAAGCCACGCAUGCUAUAGUGCUUUUUGUUAAAGCAGCCUGGACUGACUAAGACAAAAAGGGAAGAUAUAAUGUAUGUUAGCUUUUUGUCACAGUAACCGCAAUAGUGGCCAAUAACAAUUUAAAGGAGUAAAAGUUUAUUUUGGGCUUGCGGUUUCAGACGUCUCAGGUCUGAGGUAAGGCAGACCAUCAUGGCUGAAGGGCGUGACAGUUCAUGGCAGCCAGAAAGCAGAGUGGGUGGGGGGAGACAGGGGAGAAGAUAAACUCUUCCAGGCACAUCCCUAGUGACCUACCUCUGCCUGCCUACAGUUACCAUCUCUUAAUACAUUCAAACUAUUAAUCCAUUGUGAGGAUGGCCUUAGGUGUGAGCCCUAAGCAACUCCAUUUUAAAAACUCUAGUUCGAAAUCUGUAGUCCAAUCAGGCACACCUCCAGUAUGGCCUCAGACAUAAACAAGUCACUUCCCCCACCCUGAGAAAGGAAAGCCUCUGGCAGGCUGUCCUGAUAAGAGGGAAAGUGAGAAGUUCAGGGUGGAGACCUCCAGACCAGAUGUUUCUGACCCCAGGGUAAAUGGUGGAGAAAUUCGGUGGUAGCUGGUAAGGAUUGAAAGAAGGUGAAAAGCCCCAAAUCUAGUAUAAAUAAUGGAGCUAAUGAACAGAGAUUCAGCCAGCCCAAACAAGGAUGCACUCAGCUGGAGGGCCUGAUGAGGACCUGGACUGACAUCCUAUCACUUGUCAUUGUUUUCCUGAUCCUCUGUGUGAUCCUCACCGCCCUCAAACUCUACUGCCUCUUCUGGACCCUGGUGAGAGCCGCAACUUCUCCAUAUGACCCUCUCCUCAAAAAGUCGUCCACUACACACCAGGAGAAGCCUGCCUUGGUUCCGGGUCUGAUCACCGUGGUCUGAGUGUGCAUCUGCUGGACAUGAAGCCUAAGGCUUGAGACUUUUGAACUUAGCACGCAGAGGGAAUGUCUGGCAUUAGCCUGACAUGAUUAAGUGUGUUUGCAGUGCUUAGAAUUAAUCUAGAAUUGUUUGCUGUGAAUUGAUCAUGUCUAUUGCAGUGCCUAGCAUUAAGGAUUGCCAUUUUCUUGAUUAAGAACCUAUAGAGUAAAAUUAUAUUGAGUGAUUUGAGUGAAUAAAGC